Molecule: ribosomal RNA, 300 nt
Filed under: Actinomycetes bacterium
Lineage: Bacteria; Bacillati; Actinomycetota; Actinomycetes
Description: bacterial SSU rRNA
Rfam family: Bacterial small subunit ribosomal RNA
Source: RNAcentral
GGAUGGGCUCGCGGCCUAUCAGCUUGUUGGUGGGGUGAUGGCCUACCAAGGCGACGACGGGUAACCGGCCUGAGAGGGCGACCGGUCACACUGGGACUGAGACACGGCCCAGACUCCUACGGGAGGCAGCAGUGGGGAAUAUUGCGCAAUGGGCGGAAGCCUGACGCAGCGACGCCGCGUGGGGGAUGACGGCCUUCGGGUUGUAAACCCCUUUCAGCAUCGACGAAGCUCCAUCUUUUCGGGGUGGGGUGACGGUAGGUGCAGAAGAAGCGCCGGCUAACUACGUGCCAGCAGCCGCGG